Molecule: long non-coding RNA, 893 nt
Filed under: Rattus norvegicus (Norway rat)
Lineage: Eukaryota; Metazoa; Chordata; Mammalia; Rodentia; Muridae
Description: long non-coding RNA NONRATT002044
Source: RNAcentral
AGGGUUUGACCCCACACUGCUUGUGCCCAUGUACCUAUAUACAUGUGCCUGUAUAUAACAUACAGAUUCCCUGACAUACACCUAGGGACUAUCGGUGGGAUACUUAUCUGUCAGGACCCAAGCUUAGCCAGGGUCAGGAAGAAGAUCUAGCGUUCAGGUGUAUUUCAUGGUUCGUCUAGCAAGAGAUGUGUUUCCUUUCAGUUUCCCUAGAACAUAUAUGGCUGUGGAUGUAUGUUGGUUAGAGUGCAUGUGUGUAUCAGUUAGAAAACAUGUAAAGUGGCUAGAACAUGUGUGCACCAGGUAAAGCUCAUGCAUGCGUUAUCAGAUGAGCAUGUGUGCCAGUUUGAGGACAUUUGUGUUGUGUACCUACCUGCAUGUGUGAGUUGGAAUGCACCUGGUAGCAUUUGUAGACAUUUAAGUGCAUGUAUUUUCUACUUUUGGAUGGUCUUGGGCAGGUCUGCUGACAGCCAGCUAAAGGACAUGUGACUUCACUUCCUGCUUCCUAGACUCUGUAGACUUACACUCCCAGGUGUGGACACUGUCUAGAAAGACAAGACAUUUUACUGAUUAGCUCUGCUGGCUUACUGGGAACAGAGGUGGGAUUGAGGUAGCUUUCAGAACUCAGUUUCCUUGGCCCUCUGGUGUUCUUCUAGCUGCAAUAGGGCAUGCCCCACAGUGGCGUGGAUAACAGGCCAAACCUAGGACUCAGGUUCCACGUGGCUGCUGCGCUCUCCCAGGCUCUUCAUGUCAUGCAGCUUGAGAACUGCUGUUGGACCAAACAUACAGUAAUUGUGCCCUUUCCAUGGAGUGAAUUCAGGGUUCCUGUAAUGAAAGGCCUGACUGGGGCCACAGAGACUCGCCUAUAAUUUUAUCAGAUUAAACUGAAGAGAGAA